RNAcentral lists this ribosomal RNA (1233 nucleotides) under Staphylococcus aureus. RNAcentral describes it as "partial 23S ribosomal RNA". It matches the Rfam family "Bacterial large subunit ribosomal RNA", at positions 1 to 1234 of the family's 2925-position model. The record is from RNAcentral. Lineage: Bacteria; Bacillati; Bacillota; Bacilli; Caryophanales; Staphylococcaceae.
AGAUUAAGUUAUUAAGGGCGCACGGUGGAUGCCUUGGCACUAGAAGCCGAUGAAGGACGUUACUAACGACGAUAUGCUUUGGGGAGCUGUAAGUAAGCUUUGAUCCAGAGAUUUCCGAAUGGGGAAACCCAGCAUGAGUUAUGUCAUGUUAUCGAUAUGUGAAUACAUAGCAUAUCAGAAGGCACACCCGGAGAACUGAAACAUCUUAGUACCCGGAGGAAGAGAAAGAAAAUUCGAUUCCCUUAGUAGCGGCGAGCGAAACGGGAAGAGCCCAAACCAACAAGCUUGCUUGUUGGGGUUGUAGGACACUCUAUACGGAGUUACAAAGGACGACAUUAGACGAAUCAUCUGGAAAGAUGAAUCAAAGAAGGUAAUAAUCCUGUAGUCGAAAAUGUUGUCUCUCUUGAGUGGAUCCUGAGUACGACGGAGCACGUGAAAUUCCGUCGGAAUCUGGGAGGACCAUCUCCUAAGGCUAAAUACUCUCUAGUGACCGAUAGUGAACCAGUACCGUGAGGGAAAGGUGAAAAGCACCCCGGAAGGGGAGUGAAAUAGAACCUGAAACCGUGUGCUUACAAGUAGUCAGAGCCCGUUAAUGGGUGAUGGCGUGCCUUUUGUAGAAUGAACCGGCGAGUUACGAUUUGAUGCAAGGUUAAGCAGUAAAUGUGGAGCCGUAGCGAAAGCGAGUCUGAAUAGGGCGUUUAGUAUUUGGUCGUAGACCCGAAACCAGGUGAUCUACCCUUGGUCAGGUUGAAGUUCAGGUAACACUGAAUGGAGGACCGAACCGACUUACGUUGAAAAGUGAGCGGAUGAACUGAGGGUAGCGGAGAAAUUCCAAUCGAACCUGGAGAUAGCUGGUUCUCUCCGAAAUAGCUUUAGGGCUAGCCUCAAGUGAUGAUUAUUGGAGGUAGAGCACUGUUUGGACGAGGGGCCCCUCUCGGGUUACCGAAUUCAGACAAACUCCGAAUGCCAAUUAAUUUAACUUGGGAGUCAGAACAUGGGUGAUAAGGUCCGUGUUCGAAAGGGAAACAGCCCAGACCACCAGCUAAGGUCCCAAAAUAUAUGUUAAGUGGAAAAGGAUGUGGCGUUGCCCAGACAACUAGGAUGUUGGCUUAGAAGCAGCCAUCAUUUAAAGAGUGCGUAAUAGCUCACUAGUCGAGUGACACUGCGCCGAAAAUGUACCGGGGCUAAACAUAUUACCGAAGCUGUGGAUUGUCCUUUGGACAAUGGUAGGAG